GAUACAGAGACUCGAAGUAGAAUGCCGAUAAAAUACAGAGUGAUCAGCUUCACUCCGAGUCAUGCCAAACUCCUGGAUAACUGUGCUGAACUUACCAAGCCGGGCUCGAGGAGACUGCUUUAGACCAUAAAGUGACCGGCGCAAGCGACAUACAAGGCCACGAGACUCCCCCUGAGCAACAAACCCAGGUGGUUGCUCCAUAGAAAUUUCAUCUUCAAGGUCACCGCGUAAAAAAACAUUCUUAAUGUCCAACUGAGAGAGAGGCUAAUGGCGAAUAGCAGCCACAGAUAGAAAAAUGCGGACUGAUGCUAUCUUAGCCAGGGGAGAGAAAGUGCCACUAUAAUCAAGCCCAAAAAUCUGAGUGUAUCCUUUUGCAACAAGACGAGCCUUAAGACGAUCAACCUGACCAUCCGGGCCGAUUUUGACUGCAUAAACCCAAUGACUACGAACAGUAGACUCACAUGAAGGAAGAGUAACAACCUCCCAAGUGCCACUCGCUUGUAAAGCAGACAUCUCCUCAAUCAUAGCUUGUCGCCAUCCUGAAUGAGAUAGUGCCUCACCUGUAGACUAUGGGAUAGAAACAGUGGGCAAAGAUGAUAUAAAAGCAUAAUAAGGUGAUGACAGAUGAUGAUAACUUAAACCGACAUAAUGGGCGUUAAAAGUGGAUCGUACACCUUUGCGGAGUGCAAUUGGUUGACUAAGAGGAGACAAGUCCGCAGUAGGUGCAAAAUCUGAUGCAGGAGGUGAAUCACCUGUGUUUAAUGCUGGACGUGAACGACGAUGAUAAGUCAAGAGUGGUGGAGCUACAGAAAUUGAACUAGACUAGGUGGUGGAACUGGAGCUAUAGGUGGUGGAGCUGCAACUAGAGCAGUAGGUGGUGGAGCUAGAGUUGUAAAGGAAGAUGAAUGGGAGGUAGUGACUGAAUCUUCAAAGAAACUGGCAGCACCUCAGAAAUAUCUAAGUGAUUAUCUGGAUAUGUGAAGUAUGAUUGGGUUUCAAAGAAGGUAACAUCAGCAGACAUAAGAUACCGCUGGAGGUCAGGAGAAUAGCCUCGAUAUCCCUUUUGCUUUCUCGAGUAACCCAGAAAUACACACUUAAGAGCACGAGGAGCUAACUUAUCUUUUUCUGAGUAACGCUAUGAACAAAACACAUCCUUCCAAAGACACGGGGUGGAAGAGAGAACAAAGGUAAGUGGGGAAACAGGACAGAAAAUGGAACUUGAUUUUGAAUAGCUGGAGAUGGCACACGAUUAAUAAGAUAGCUAGAUGUAAGAACUGCAUUCUCCCAAAAACGCAACGGAGCAUGAGAUUGUAUGAGUAGGGUACGGGCAGUUUCAAUAAGAUGUCUAUUCUUUCUUUUAGCUACCCCAUUUUGUUAAGAUGUGUAUGGACAAGAUGUUUGAUAAAUGAUCCCAUGAGAGUUCCCAUAAGGAGUUAACUUAUCUUUUCCUGGAGUAAGGUUAUGAACAAAACAUGUGCUUCCAAAGACAUAGGGUGGAAGAGAGAACAAAGUUAAAUGGGGAAACAGGACAAAGAAUGAAACUUGAUUCUGGAUAGCUGAAGAUGACAUAUUAAUAAGAUAGCAAGAUGUAAGAACUGCAUCCCAAAAACGCAACGGAGCAUGAGAUUGUAUGAGUAGGGUAUGAGCAGUUUCAAUAAGAUGUCUAUUCUUUCUUUCAGCUACCCCAUUUUGUUGAGAUGUGUACGGACAAGAUUUUUGAUGAAUAAUCCCAUGAGAGUUCAUAAACUGCUGAAAUGGGGAAGAAAAAUACUCUAGCGCAUAUCACUACGAAAUAUGCAGACAGAAACCUCAAAUUGAUUUUAAAUUUCAGCGUAGAAGGUCUGAAAAAUAGAAAACAUCUCAGACCGAUUUUUCAUCAAAAAUAUCCAAGUGCACCUGGAAUAAUCAUCAAUGAAACUGACAAUGUAGCAAAAUCCCAAGGUAGAACUGACCCAACUAGGACCCAAACAUCUUAAUGGACUAAAGUGAAAGGUGAAUCUGCUCGAUUAUCAAGACACCGAGGGAAAUAGGAGGAAUCCCAAGGUAGAACUGACCCGACUAGGACUCCAAACAUCUGAAUGGACUAAAGUAAAAGGUGACUCCGCUCUAUUGUCAAGACGCCGAGGGAAAUGGGGGCGGGUAUGCUUACCGAGCUAACAUGACUCACACUCUAGAGUGGACAAGUGAGAUAAACCAGGUAUCAAUUUCUGAAGUUUUGACCCAACCGAUUAUGUAAUAAAUCUGGUGAAUCGGUAACAAGACAAGUUAUUGAAGGAAGACAAGAUGCGAGUCCAUGUGAUUUUGCAAGGAUAAGUUAAUAAAGUCCAUCUGAUUCAUGUCUGGUACCAAUGAUCCGCCCCGUACUGCGUUCCUGUAUAAAAACAAGGUCAUCAAGAAAUAAAACAGCGCAUUUAAGUGAUUUGGCUAAGCGACUAACGGCUAUGAGAUUAAAAGGACUAUUGGGAACAUAAAGGACUGAAUCUAAAGGUAAGGAAGGAAGAGGGCUUGCUUGAUCUAUUGCAGUUGUCAUGGCUUGAGAUCCAUUAGCCAUUGUGACCGCUGGAAGAGAUUGAGAAUAUGAAAUACUAAUGAAAAGAGAUUUGUUACCAGAAAUAUGAUCAGAUGCACCUAAAUCGAUGACCUAAGACUCAGAGUUGAAGAUUGGGAGACACAAGUCAUGUUACUACCUGUUUGAACAACUGAAGUUAUCCUUGAAUAUGUCUGUUUACAUGCUUUAUACUGAAGGAACUCAAUAUACUCUGGUAAAGAAACUAUCUGGAUUGGGUUCAAUGCAUUGGAUCCAACGGAUUGUGAGUUAAAGGCAUCUAAUACGAAUGGCAUUAUAAUAUUGUACCAGAAAAAGAAAAAAAAUUCUGGGGAUCACUGUUCACACCGGAAAUUCCAAAGUUAUCGGAAUCUGUCGGAAAUAGUACCAAUGGACUCGUAAUUUAUAUGCGACUAGGCUGUCCUCAAGAAGCUUGGACAAAAAAUGGUCAAAGAAACACGCGCGCGCCGGAAAAUAUAAAAGUGAUCGGAAUUUUGUUUAAAUUGGAUGGAUAGGCUCGAAAUUGCAGUUGCAAGGAGAUGACACUGUCUAAAUGAAACGUUUCAAAAUUUUGGCCGAAACAGCCCUCAUGCGCCGGCGCGUGGGACAGACGCGUUGCCGGCGGUAGAUUUCUGGCAGGCACAUGGGGGCGCGUGGAUGGUCUUUUUCAGGUAACUUUUUCUGGGGUUUGGUCACCUGUCUCUUAGGAACCUUUUGGUGUUGUUGGAUUUUGCACAACACUAUAAUUAGUGACUUUGACGCAAAUAUUCACUUAGGUCACCGGAAAACCGCACGGUGACUGAGUUCUUUCUUCCCGAACGUCGCUAGAACGACAUCCCGCGAUCUCUUCUCACAAAAGCUUUGAUACCAUGUGAGAAUGCACGGGAGAAAAAUAUGAUAUUAUUUACAUAUGUUAACUAUGAUAUAAUGAGCCCUAUGUAUAUAUAUAAUAAAUGUCCUACUCCUAAUACAUAUGGGAUUAAGGUUAUUUACAAUUUACAUAACUAUUCUAACAUCACAAAAUGUUAAAUGUCAGGCUCCAAGAAUAACUAAAAGUUCCCUUCAACCACAGUUUAGAGAAAAAAGUGACACUAAGAAAUAAGCAUAACAGCCGAAGAUCCGCUAAGCACAAAAACUUACUGG
This 3688-nucleotide long non-coding RNA is filed under the name Nicotiana benthamiana. Its description in RNAcentral is "long non-coding RNA (NBEN_LNC008729)". The record is from RNAcentral. Lineage: Eukaryota; Viridiplantae; Streptophyta; Magnoliopsida; Solanales; Solanaceae.